AGAAUUCUGAAGAAAUGACAAUGGGCCUCUCUAGAGCACAUGUAAUACUGUUUUUCAUUGCAUAUCAUAAUUUUUACAGAAAAUAAUUUUGUUGCUUGGAGGAGGAGUGAGUUAAAAAUUGAUCCCCCCCUAGGUGUCCAUCUUUCUCCUUAUGUUGCUGAUUUGCCAGCUGUGGUCAGGCUGCAUGGGUUGGGGGCCCUGGUCAGAGUGGGGUGGUUACAGUCAGGGGCUGAGGUGUGGUGAAGUCAGUUGCCAUCACACCCUCUUUCUCAAGCAGCUCCUACUCCCUCGGGAAGGGGCCUGUAUUUGGGCUUUCUUGUUGAGCAGACGUGCCCUUGGGUUGCCUCCAGUCGGCCAUGUUGGGAGGCUCAGCUCCUGUCUCAUCCUUUCCUGAGAUGUGGUGCCAAGCCUGGAGGGAGACUGGGGCAAUGUCACCCGUCUCUGGGGUUGCCCCAGCUGGUAACAGCCCCCCCCCCAUCUACUUAAAAGUAGCCGUGUUUAGAGUGGGGUCACGUAAAACAGACAGAUAGGUACAAAGUUCCUCCAAUGGCCCUCUGGGAAAUUCUUUGGAAUUCCAUCAACACGACUAUGUGUUAAAUGCCUUGUUCAGGUGCAGGCCUGGUGCUGGCCCCCACGGUAUCGACAGACUCAGACAAGUCCCAGUCUGCCCUCCAGGAGAGCUACAUGGGUCCGCCUGUGGCUGGAAUUCAAGGAAGGGUGGUGGAGACAGUUCUAAGAGCGGGUUGUUCAAAGCGGGGUGACAAAAUUCACACCAGGGGUGCCACAGAAGGGCAGGAGCCUUGGUGGAAUGGAGCUGCAGGUACCGAGGGUGUCUUCAUAUCCUCCCACCAGCACUUAGCAGCUCUGUGACCUCCAGGGAGACCCCCCAAGAAACUGGGGGUGGAGGCAAUAGUCCAGCCUCACUGGCAGACAUCCCUGAGGGCAAAGUAAGGCCACACUGAAGCUCUAGGCCCUCCACAGAGGAAAUGCUUACUCAGUGCAUGAUGAGCUCCCUGGGGCUCUCUACCCAGAGGCACAGUGGAGGCACAGUGGAAAAUUACCCUGCACCUCACACUCAGGGAGGUGCCCCUUUUUAUAGGGGCUGGGCUCAUUUUGCGCAUGGGCUUCUGGUGAGCGAGCCCAAACCAGACUUGGAAGGCCUAGAAGGAGCAGACAAAAACCGUGCCCUGGCAUAACCUCUGUCAAAUAUACUUUGUCUCAGCGGAGCUUUUGAGAGAAGCCGGAGAGCUCUUGUAAAAUAUAAAUUGUCAUUUUUGUUGCUAAUAAUAGUAAUGACAAUUCCUGGGCUCCCGUCCUGAGAUCGUCUGUCUGCAGGCAACUUUCAUCACUUUCCCGAGGACUGGCCUGGCACCCAGAAAAAUACUUCCAGUAUACCUUACCCCUGGAGCCUCUCUGGGACCGUCCCUGUGACCUCUGGACGCAUCUCUAGAUUUGUCAUCUGUAUGAGGGCGUUCUCAAGUACCAGGUCACAUAUUUUAGCUUCUUUUGAUAAAUUAGUGACAACUGAUUUAAUCUCACAGCUACCUCGUGAUGAAAGUCUUUGUCUUUACUGUGCCUCAGAAAGGGUCAGUGGCUUGCCUAAGGACACACAGCUUGAAAGAACCAGAGGUGGGAUUCGAACCCAGGUCUGUAUCAGUCCAGAGCCUACACUCCUAAGUCCAGCCUCUGCUAUUGGACAGAAACAGUCCCACCUCUGGGGGCUACAGGCCGAGAUGGCCCCCCGAUAAAGGUUUCUAAAAAGGGGAGAUAGCAUAAAAACAGGUCUUGCCCUAACUUGACGGAGCAUCUUACACUCAGUUACCAGCAUGUCAGAAUUCAUAGGACGUCUGGUCAGCUCCGUGCCGAAUUGCCUGGAGCACUCAAGGUGGUGAGAAGCUGUUGAAUUAAUAAAAUGCAUUAAGUUGAUUGCAGGGGAAACACUUAAUCUACAGAGGAUAGUACACUCUUUGGAGGCAUUUUCAAGUACUUUCGAAAACUCCCUUUUCCACACCAAUAAUUGAUGGACUAACCUCAAAUUGUUCUUAUUUGUUCAUUAACGUAAGGCCCCCAAGGGCUCACUGUAUAACACUUUAUUAGCCGGGAUUGAGUAAUAUAUUUUAAAGUAAUAAAACGACAUUAUUUUUAAAUUAUUUUUUAAUGUGGACUUUCCAGCCAUUGACUGCCCUCUCUGAUAGGUCUGAAUUAGUGAGUUUUAAUUGUGUGCAAAGAAGCAAUAAAAUAAUCAUUACGAAGAUGAUGGGUGUAUCUUUUAUGGCAGACGUAUGCAUCGUCCCAUCCAGCCUGAGGAAACCCUGCACUGGGAGCAGCACGCAGCGCCCCCUCCUUUGCAGACGCAGAACUCACACUCAAAGGGAUUCAACCUCUCACCCAGGGCCCCUGAGUGGUGGGGGCCAGGAGUCAAGUUCAGGUUCGUCUCCUUUCUCUAGCACUCACCGAACAUGGUUGAGGUGUGAGCUUGGGUGGCACUGAAUGGGGCUCAGGCUUUUCCCAGGAGACUGGGGUUACCAAAAAUGGGAAGGUAAGAAAAAUAAGAGAGAAAUCAAGAUACAUCCUUGUUGUGUAUCUGCUCAGGACCGACUACCUCUGAGGGCCAGGUGGGCACACAAAGGUGAGGGAGGGUGACAUAAUGGUUAAUUUAUAUGUCAACUUGACUGGGCUAUGACCAGGGGGUUGGUCAAACACCAACCAGUCUAGAUGUUGCUGUGAAGGUAUCAGAUGUGAUGGAUGUUCAGAUCUGUAGACUUUAAGUAAAGCAGAUUAGUCUCUAUGUCAUGGUGGGCCUUGUCCAAUCAGUCGAAGGGCAUAAGACCAAAGAUCGAAUUUUCCAAUGAAGAGGGGAUCCUCAGCAGGACUUCCCUGUAGGAAUGCUGCUUGAGUUUCCAUCCUGCUGCCUUGUGGGACUCACAUUAACUCAGCAUUAACUCUUACAUAAAUUUCCAGCCUGCUAGUGUACCCUACAAAUUCUUGCCAGCAAUUUCUUAAACUCUCUCUCUCUCUGUAUACACACACACACACACACACUAACUGUUAUUCCCGUACAUUUUAUUUCAGUGCACCUUUCUAUGCCAUGAUAAGAUGAAUUACAGCUCCUAUGUAACUGGGAUUUUUAUGUACUUGACCUCUUUCAGAAAGAACCCAAAGAAACUAAUGUAAGCAACUCUCAGGGGAUUUGUUCGAAGAUGCCACUUCUGAGUCCAUCUGGGCUCCAGGUCCAUGUGACGCCACGUGCUGCAGUUGCCCCUGGUCCAGGCCCUAGAUAGUGGAGCUCUGCAGCCCAGCAUGACACAUACCCACAGAGUCAUCUCCAGUCUCGGGCCCAGUGAGGCUCUCUCUCAGGAACAGUAGAUGGGUUCAUGGCCACAGACUUGAAAUCAAAGGGGAUUCUAAUGAUCUAGAAAAUUAAAUUCUCCAGAAUUGCCAGGGAAUUGACUUCUCUGGAGUCCUUUUAUCAGGUAGCAUUUUGGACCCUCUGACUCUUACCUUUUUUUUUUUUUUUAAAGAUUUAUUUAUUUUAUUUGAGAGAGAGAGCAGGGGGAGGGCCAGAGGGAGAGGGAGAAUCCAAGCAGACUACCCGCUGAGUAUGGAGCCUGGUGCUUGGCUCCAUCCCAUGACCCUGAGAUCAUGACCUGAACUGAAAUCAAGAGGCAAACGUUUAACCGGCUGAGCCAUCCAGGUGCCUCCUAUUCAAAUAUCAGCUCUAUAAAGAGACCAGCUCAUGCCCUCUUGUCCUCUCCUCCAUUCUUCCUCCCAGAGAAUGGUGGCAGGACAGGGGUGAUCAUUCCUGUUUUACAGGAAGAGAAACCGAGAUGAAGAAAGGAUGCACCUCGCUUCUGAUCCUGGGCAGCAGCUGUGGUGUACAGUCCCAGCUCCUGCUGAUGGAGGCACCCACAGUCCAGCCCCAGCUUCAGCUCAGCUUCCCCCACCCAGAGCCCCUUCUCAGCCCGCUGGUCUCCGUUCAGAGCAAGACUGUGACGCUUCUGUCUUGCUUCUCUGCCCUGGGGUUCUCCUGAUUUGCUUAGUUUCUUCUCUGCCUGCUUCAAUCCCACUCAUCCUGGAAUACCCUGCAGAGACUGUGGAUCUGCUGGGUCACGAGGAGAAGCCGAAGGGGGUGCUCGGAAUGAGCGAGGAAGAGACUGUUUAAAGGAGUGGCUGGGCGUGGCCUGGAGAGCCACCUGCAGAACUGCAAGAGAACCACGAAGGAACCAUGGCUGGCAGGGCGGGCCCUUGGCAGAAGUCAUGGCCUUCAGUCGAGGAAACUGAUCAUGGCUCAGCCCGCACCUGGCAGAGAUGGAGCCAGAGGAACACAGAGUCCCACUCUCUCCUCCUGCACCUCUUUGGCCAAUCCCAGCUUGCAGAUGGAGGAAAGAUGUCCUUUGUGCAGCCCUCAGAGUUGCAAGCUGGAUGGAGGGGCUGUGGGCUGAAAAGGGUGGGCAGGCCUCCGCCUUCGCCUGGGAGUCCCUGUCAUGAGUGCAGCCCAGAGAGGUCUCCUUCUUCUCUGAGCCUCAGGAGCACCCUUGACCUUGAGGAGCUGUAAUGCCUCUUAGUUGUGCUGUAAGGAUGUGGCUCUCUCUCUCUGGUCUUUUCAGUGUAUCAUGUCUCCCCACUUAGUGUGUAAGUUCCAACAGGUGCCCUACCUUUUUGUAUCUCCCAUACAGAAGCAACCAAAUAUUCUGGGGUUUCUUGGCUGCAUCUGUUUUGAACAGUCUGUCCCUUUGCUCUCCUUCCACCUACUCUGCCCCCCGCCAGGGCAUCUGGAUCUGGACUUGGGGUCUUGGUAAGUUUUGGGGGGAAGAUGUGAAUAUUAAGGUAAGGGUGAAGAGUCUGAAGCUUCUGGGGCUGGCUUGGGGAGUUUUCAGCAGAUGUAACAGGAGACAUGAGCACAGGAGUUAAGAGAACCUGACAUCACACUCAGGGGGAGGAGCUAGAGGGGGGUGGCAGGGAGGGUCACCAGAACCAAGGGACCAGAGACAGGGAUUGACAUGGGAUGUGAGUGGGGAGUGCAAGACCAUGGGGACCUGAGCAAGCCAGUCACCCUCAGGGAGACAUAGGGACGGGCAGGGGAGGGGCUUAGAUGCAAGGUUAAAGAGGGUUCCAGAGCUAUUGUGUAGGCUAGUGCUGUCUGAAAGAGCAGCCACUAGCCAUGGGUGGCUAUUUAAAUUAACUAAAAUUGAACUACAUUAAAAAUUCUGUUUCUUGGUCAUACCAGCCACCUUUCUGGUGACCUACCGUGUUAACCAGCAUUAAGUUAGAACAUUUCCAUCAUCACAGAAUGUUCAAUGGAACAGGCUGGUCCAGAAUAUACUAGAGAGUUUAAGGUCCCAACAGUCCUAACAAAAGUACCUGUUUGGGGAUGCCUGGGUGUUGGUUAAGUGUCCACUUUCAACUCAGGUAGUGAUCUAAGAGUCCGGGGAUCAAGCCCCACAUGGGGUUCUUUGCUCAGUGGGGAGUCUGCUUCUCCCUCUCCCUCUGCCCCUUCCACUGCUCCUUCCUGUCUCUCUCUCUCAAAACAAAUAAAUAAAACCUUUAAAACUUUUUUAAAAAAGUA
This is a long non-coding RNA of Mustela lutreola (European mink), 5566 nucleotides long. RefSeq lists it as uncharacterized. NCBI's taxonomy places the organism in Eukaryota, Metazoa, Chordata, Mammalia, Carnivora, Mustelidae. The transcript has 2 exons. The record is from RefSeq and is a predicted model, not a curated record.